Molecule: unclassified non-coding RNA, 277 nt
Filed under: sea anemone metagenome
Description: partial contains small subunit ribosomal RNA and internal transcribed spacer 1
Rfam family: Eukaryotic small subunit ribosomal RNA (bases 1-154)
Source: RNAcentral
GCACCUACCGAUUGAAUGGUCCGGUGAAGCCUCGGGAUUGUGGCGAGUUCCCUCUAUUGGGAGUUUGUCGCGAGAACUUGUCUAAACCUUAUCAUUUAGAGGAAGGUGAAGUCGUAACAAGGUUUCCGUAGGUGAACCUGCAGAAGGAUCAAUAUCGGUUGAGCGUCGUGUAGGUCAAGAGUGUAGUUCUCGGUGUUCUCCUUCUCUUUUUCUACAUAUUCUUUUUUUUUCUUUUUCUUUUUUCUUUUUUUCUUCUUUUUAUUUUCUCUUUUUAUUU